GUACUUACCUGGCAGGGGAGAUACCAUGAUCACGAAGGUGGUUUUCCCAGGGCGAGGCUUAUCCAUUGCACUCCGGAUGUGCUGACCCCUGCGAUUUCCCCAAAUGUGGGAAACUCGACUGCAUAAUUUGUGGUAGUGGGGGACUGCGUUCGCGCUUUCCCCUG
RNAcentral lists this small nuclear RNA (164 nucleotides) under Mustela putorius furo (domestic ferret). RNAcentral describes it as "U1 spliceosomal RNA". It matches the Rfam family "U1 spliceosomal RNA". From Rfam's summary of the family: U1 is a small nuclear RNA (snRNA) component of the spliceosome (involved in pre-mRNA splicing). Its 5' end forms complementary base pairs with the 5' splice junction, thus defining the 5' donor site of an intron. There are significant differences in sequence and secondary structure between metazoan and yeast U1 snRNAs, the latter being much longer (568 nucleotides as compared to 164 nucleotides in human). RNAcentral also lists the same sequence under 2 other names. The record is from Rfam by way of RNAcentral. Lineage: Eukaryota; Metazoa; Chordata; Mammalia; Carnivora; Mustelidae.